UACGUAGGGACCAAGCGUUGUCCGGAAUCAUUGGGCGUAAAGAGCGUGUAGGCGGCUUGUUAAGUCUUGCGUGAAAUCUCGGGGCUCAACCCCGAGCGGUCGUGAGAAACUGGCAGGCUAGAGUGCGGGAGAGGAGAGUGGAAUUCCUGGUGUAGCGGUGAAAUGCGCAGAUAUCAGGAAGAACACCCGUGGCGAAGGCGGCUCUCUGGAACGCAACUGACGCUGAGACACGAAAGCGUGGGUAGCAAACAGG
Molecule: ribosomal RNA, 253 nt
Filed under: uncultured bacterium
Lineage: Bacteria
Description: partial 16S ribosomal RNA
Rfam family: Bacterial small subunit ribosomal RNA
Source: RNAcentral